GGCGAACGCUGGCGGCGUGCCUAAUACAUGCAAGUAGAACGCUGAGGACUGGUGCUUGCACCGGUUCAAGGGGUUGCGAACGGGUGAGUAACGCGUAGGUAACCUACCUCAUAGCGGGGGAUAACUAUUGGAAACGAUAGCUAAUACCGCAUGACAAUGGAGGACCCAUGUCUUUCAUUUAAAAGGUGCAAUUGCAUCACUAUGAGAUGGACCUGCGUUGUAUUAGCUAGUUGGUGAGGUAACGGCCCACCAAGGCGACGAUGCGUAGCCGACCUGAGAGGGUGACCGGCCGCACUGGGACUGAGACACGGCCCAG
This 316-nucleotide ribosomal RNA is filed under the name uncultured bacterium. Its description in RNAcentral is "bacterial SSU rRNA". It matches the Rfam family "Bacterial small subunit ribosomal RNA", at positions 28 to 334 of the family's 1533-position model. The record is from RNAcentral.